This 68-nucleotide transfer RNA is filed under the name Umbonium thomasi. RNAcentral describes it as "tRNA-Gln". The record is from RNAcentral. Lineage: Eukaryota; Metazoa; Mollusca; Gastropoda; Trochida; Trochidae.
UAUAAAAUAGUAUAGUAAGUACAUAGAGUUUUGAUCUCUGGGGGAGAAGUUUGUUCUUCUUUUUAUAG